Molecule: long non-coding RNA, 797 nt
Organism: Silurus meridionalis
Lineage: Eukaryota; Metazoa; Chordata; Actinopteri; Siluriformes; Siluridae
Exons: 3
Source: RefSeq, a predicted model, not a curated record
UAAUCUCGCCUAAUUAAAGCCCUAAUUAAAGCUGAGCAGGUGGGUGGAGCUUAACGGGUAAUUAACUAGCAAAUAAAUCUGUGAAACUUACUGUUGCAGUGUGUUAAAUAUUAAAUUCACUAAAAAAAUUAAUUUUAUAUAAACCUUUUUAUGUUUUCACAAAUGUUAAAAUUCUGACCAAUCAGAGUCGAGAAUUCAUCCGUAAACCAGGUCAUAGUGGAGGCUACAAUCCUUCGACUUGCCAAGCAGGAGAUAUUAUGCCUCUAAAAUCGUGAAGACCUCCAGAUUCCGAUCCACAGUCUUUGCAAAUAUGAGGAAUAAUAAAUCAUUAAUGGAACACUGGCAUUUGUUUUUGCACUUGUUUUGUAAAAGCAGUAAGCCACACGAUGGCAUGGGUGCUAUUUUAUUAGAUAUUUUAUCAAGGAGGGUUUUACAUCAAAUAAAUUCAUGUAAAGCAUGCUCUCGUGUUAACAUUUAACAUAAACGUUGUUCAAUGCUUACUGAUGAAAGCACUUUAUUAACUGUUGCCAAUUCUUUUGAAGGGAAUCUAAAGAAAACGAGGACCAAAAAUAAUAAUAAUAAUAAUGAAUAAAUUAAAAUCUGGUCCACAAUUAUCCUUUAAUGAUUAUGCAAUAAACAAUACAUUUAGUGUUAAGGAAAUGUAUGUGUACAGACUGCCAAAGUAAAUGAACAGUAGCGUACAACCACCACAAAAGCAAAUCUUCAGCCUUCUGCAAAAUAUAAUAAAAUGAACAUAUCUGCUGGACAAAGUCAACUUAGGAAAACACAAGGAAAAA